This 481-nucleotide ribosomal RNA is filed under the name uncultured bacterium. RNAcentral's name for it is "bacterial SSU rRNA". It matches the Rfam family "Bacterial small subunit ribosomal RNA", at positions 30 to 504 of the family's 1533-position model. The record is from RNAcentral.
CGAACGCUGGCGGCGUGCUUAACACAUGCAAGUCGAGGGGAAAGUUUUCUUCGGAGAAUGAGUAUACUGGCGCACGGGUGAGUAAUAUGUAAGUAAUCUACCCAAGGGACAGGGAUAACGUCGAGAAAUUGGCGCUAAUACCGGAUAAUGCAACGAGGUCGCAUGGCCAUGUUGUUAAAGUCAUUUAUGGCACCUUUGGAUGAGCUUGCACCUGAUUAGCUUGUUGGUGGGGUAACGGCCUACCAAGGCAACGAUCAGUAGCUGGUCUGAGAGGAUGAUCAGCCACACUGGAACUGAGACACGGUCCAGACUCCUACGGGAGGCAGCAGUGAGGAAUAUUGGGCAAUGGACGAAAGUCUGACCCAGCAACGCCGCGUGGAGGAUGAAUGCCGUAAGGUUGUAAACUCCUUUUAUUAGGGACGAAAAAAUAGGUUUAUAGCCUAUAUUGACGGUACCUAUUGAAUAAGCCCCGGCUAACUAC